GGGGGUGAGUUGGCAUUGAUUGGCGUUGUCAAUCGUACGGGGCACGUAGUCAAACUUCAUCUAUGACUUUAAUCCAUGAUGGAAAUUUUCAGACGGCAACGUUUAUAGUGAAAUGGCAGUAUUAGGUCUUGUAUCUGAUAAUGUCGCAGUUAACGCAUAACUAAGUUAGUGUUAACAACGGGUCGGUGGACAUAUACCUUGGAACAGAAGUCCUUAAAGUGUGACACCACUUAAAAGUGUUAGAGGUGUAAGGUCGUCUCUUUAAAUAAGGAUUGGACCGAGGAUGUUAGUUUCCUCUAAAUAACUUUCUAUUUCGAAGUGUUAGAAAAUACUGUUCUAAACGUGUAGUCCUUUAUGGGUGAGACGAACAAGACGCGGGUUCGACACCCGCCACCUCCACAA
RNAcentral lists this transfer-messenger RNA (402 nucleotides) under Flavobacteriaceae bacterium. It matches the Rfam family "transfer-messenger RNA". Rfam says of the family: Bacterial tmRNA, also known as 10Sa RNA or SsrA, is named for its dual tRNA and mRNA-like properties. Its role is to liberate the mRNA from a stalled ribosome. To accomplish this part of the tmRNA is used as a reading frame that ends in a translation stop signal. Lineage: Bacteria; Pseudomonadati; Bacteroidota; Flavobacteriia; Flavobacteriales; Flavobacteriaceae. The record is from RNAcentral.